GCCUUUUGUUUCUAUUGAUUGAAAGUUGUAUGAUUUUUUUUGAGCUAUUUGGAGGGAGAGUGCGUUAUUUUAAGUAUAUGCAGCUGUUUACUUUUGAAGUUGGAGACUCGGUUGAUUUAUUAUACUCCUGGAUCAAGGCUUGCAAACUUCAAGCUCUGGACGAACAUGACCAAAUAAUAAGACAACUAAAUGACGUAACUAAAUGAGUAAACCGUAACGGAACAAGAAUAAGCAUCGGAGCAAGAAUACGGUGUACAAAGAAGUCUUUGUAUGAGCAAGAACUUCAACGUCUGCUGGAAUUUGAUUACCUAUUCAUGCCGUCGGAAAGUAUUGGCUUCAAAGUCACUUUUCAAGGUCCUCUGAACGUCGUUGCUGAGUUUUGCAAACCCAGUCAAGAUAAAGAUAUUGCUUAGCAAUUGUGGAUCAUCGGAUAAGUAAAAAUGUUUAAGCCUGAUGGCUGUAGUAGGAAAAUGUUAAAUUUGUGUUGUGCGUAAGAUAUGUAUUUUGCUAUGUUAUAAAUCUCAAUUAGUUAAAAUCGAUACAGUGUCGUUUGAAAGGAUGUUAAUAUUUUUUAAUCGCUUUUAAUUCGGUAAACUUUAUGGAGUCGGCAGAGAACUCCUGUUGGAGUUAAUCAAUUAAGUUAAUCUCAAUUUCAUUAAAAUAUUGUAGGAAUAUAAACAACUUGGAAAGUUUUUAAUUAAUCUAAUUGAAAGGCAGGCUGUAAACUUAAACAUUAAAAGGAUGCUGCUGUAUUUUGACUCUUUAGAACUAGAUUUAGAACAUGUUUGAAUACUAAACCGAUAAUUUUAAAUAGCCAACUUACUGAUUGGAUAGUUCCUCAGUGUAAAUUCGUCAUUUAAGAACUGAAUAAAAUAGUAAUAUAGCUUCAUUUAUAGUUGAAUUUUCCCAUUUAAAAGUUCGCGCAUUAAACGCAUAUUUUUACAGAAAGACUUAAACCUACAUUUACAUUUUAAUAGUCUGAAAUGAGUAACAAAUCGCGGACGUUUCAUAAACGACCACAAACGGAACAGAGUAGUGCACACAACACAUACUAUGAUAAAACUUUGGUAGUAAAGUAUUAUCUUAAACGAGAGUAAUUUGACACAAAUAAAAGGGAAAAGCACUAGCAUAUACCGUUGAUCACUUUAAUCUCGUUCCUUUAAAGUGACACAAUUUUUGCAUAUACACAUAUUUUUAAUCGAAUUCUUCACUAACAUCUAACAUCUUCCCUUCUAUUUAAGAAUAUUACGAAGUAGCCAUGCGUUAUGAAUAACUUUGGUUCUGGUUUAAGAAUAUGCUACAUUACUGAAUUGCUAUUAUGGAAAUAUCAACCCGGACUUGAAUUUCUGUAAAAUUUAAAAAUAUUUUUCUGCAUUAGUAGGCUAAAUCUAACCCAUCUUAGACUUAAGAGUUAUUGCAUAGGUCGUAUUACUUAAAUUUUAAACUCGAAUAUUUCGCUUACCACCAUCGCUUAACUGAACAUUCCAAAUCGCAAUAUGGAGAGUAAUUUAAAAUUUUGUUGUAUUCUGCGAAUUAUCUAAUUUUCUGUUGUAUUAAAAUAUAGUAAAGACCACGAACAUUCUACUCAAAGAGGUUCUAACAGUCAGAAAUUGUCGCUAAAAUAAUCGCAUAAUUAUAAAUACUAAACUAGUGAUUUGUAGAUCG
This is a long non-coding RNA of Argiope bruennichi, 1665 nucleotides long. RefSeq lists it as uncharacterized. The transcript is spliced from 3 exons. The record is from RefSeq and is a predicted model, not a curated record. NCBI's taxonomy places the organism in Eukaryota, Metazoa, Arthropoda, Arachnida, Araneae, Araneidae.